This 993-nucleotide ribosomal RNA is filed under the name Triticum aestivum (bread wheat). Its description in RNAcentral is "partial small subunit ribosomal RNA". Lineage: Eukaryota; Viridiplantae; Streptophyta; Magnoliopsida; Poales; Poaceae. The record is from RNAcentral.
AUGGGGAUGCAGGUUCUGAUGGAUGUUCGGUGCAAGAAUUUAGUGAACCCUGUAUGUGACUGGCUCGGUGAGAUUUACGAGCCCGCCUCCAGGGAAUUUGUGAUUCCGGGACGUGGAAGACUGCCGUUAGAUGAGGAAUCCAUGUUCUGCACGUUGGGUGUGCCCUGUGGAGAGAUCAAAGUCCCGUAUGAGGUCAAUAAUAAGAUUGAGGAAACGUUGUUUGCCCGUUUGUUUCCUGGGUUGACAUCCAUGCCGAACACGACCGUGCUGGCAAAUUCACUGGAGGGCAUGACAACCCAUGGCGAGGUUUUCAAGAUGAAGCUACUCAUGUACCUGAUCUCAGCUGUUUUUGUGCCAACCAUAUCUCUUCGCCCAAGCAACAAAUGCUUCCCCAUCCUGGCAAAACUGAAAGAUGUGAAGAACAUGAAUUGGUGUAAGUUCAUUGCGGACUUCCUGCAUGAUGCAUUCUCAAACAAGAUGUACCAGAAGGGUUGUCGACUCCAUUUAAUGCUCAUGUACGUCGAUCGUCUUGAUCUGUCCACUGUGGACUUUACUGGGAUAGGAGGUCCGCCGCCUCCACACAAGUUUAUUGUUUCUGCGUGGACUUACGAUGCUGUCAAGGCUGUGCUUGCCGCAGACAAGAUAACUGAUACGAAAUACGGGAAACUGCAGCUGAUGGCCAAGCAUGCUAUAGACUACAGCGUGUUUGGUGGGCCUCAAAACUUUGGAAAGUGGAUGGACGUGCACUCCGCUCCAUCUUGUCCUGUUGAGGCGAGGGCACCUGUUGAGCAUCUAAUUGGGCAGUUUGCAUCCGGAAUGACCAGCUUGCUUGGGAAGUUGAGGGUUGGACGUCCCUUAAUGGCUCUGACAGCGACGCGGUUGCGAGGCAGUUCACUCCAUUUGUUGCAGAACGGACACAUCAGCCAACUGGUUGCCGUGGUCGGUACGACUACAACAGCUCGCAGGAGCUUCCUGACACACAAGAUGAACUAG